AGGUCUGAUUCCCAGUGUGCAA
Molecule: unclassified non-coding RNA, 22 nt
Filed under: Mus musculus (house mouse)
Lineage: Eukaryota; Metazoa; Chordata; Mammalia; Rodentia; Muridae
Description: oocyte_clustered_small_RNA9839
Source: RNAcentral